UACGUAGGGGGCAAGCGUUGUCCGGAUUCAUUGGGCGUAAAGAGCGUGUAGGCGGCCAGGUAGGUCGGUUGUGAAAACUGGAGGCUCAACCUCGAGAUGUCGGCUGAAACCAUCUGGCUAGAGUCCGGAAGAGGAGAAUGGAAUUCCCGGUGUAGCGGUGAAAUGCGCAGAUAUCGGGAAGAACACCCGUGGCGAAGGCGGUUCUCUGGGACGGUACUGACGCUGAGACGCGAAAGCGUGGGGAGCGAACAGG
This 253-nucleotide ribosomal RNA is filed under the name uncultured bacterium. RNAcentral describes it as "partial 16S ribosomal RNA". It matches the Rfam family "Bacterial small subunit ribosomal RNA", at positions 524 to 776 of the family's 1533-position model. The record is from RNAcentral.